This 252-nucleotide ribosomal RNA is filed under the name uncultured bacterium. RNAcentral's name for it is "partial 16S ribosomal RNA". It matches the Rfam family "Bacterial small subunit ribosomal RNA", at positions 524 to 776 of the family's 1533-position model. The record is from RNAcentral.
UACGUAGGUGGCGAGCGUUAUCCGGAUUUAUUGGGCGUAAAGCGUGCGCAGGCGGUUUAUUAAGUCUAAGAUUAAAGCCCGGAGCUUAACUCCGGUUCGUCUCAGAAACUGGUAGACUUGAGUAUGGUAGAGGCAAAUGGAAUUCCUAGUGUAGCGGUGGAAUGCGUAGAUAUUAGGAGGAACACCAGUGGCGAAGGCGAUUUGCUGGGCCAUUACUGACGCUCAGGCACGAAAGCGUGGGGAGCAAAUAGG